Molecule: ribosomal RNA, 595 nt
Filed under: uncultured Bacteroidota bacterium
Lineage: Bacteria; Pseudomonadati; Bacteroidota
Description: bacterial SSU rRNA
Rfam family: Bacterial small subunit ribosomal RNA
Source: RNAcentral
CAACCUACCUAUCAGAGGGGAAUAACCCGGCGAAAGUCGGACUAAUACCGCAUAAGACAGGGGCACCGCAUGGUGAUAUUUGUUAAAGAAAUUCGCUGAUAGAUGGGCAUGCGUUCCAUUAGGUAGUUGGUGAGGUAACGGCUCACCAAGCCUACGAUGGAUAGGGGAACUGAGAGGUUGGUCCCCCACACUGGUACUGAGACACGGACCAGACUCCUACGGGAGGCAGCAGUGAGGAAUAUUGGUCAAUGGGCGGGAGCCUGAACCAGCCAAGUCGCGUGAAGGAAGAAGGAUCUAUGGUUCGUAAACUUCUUUUGCAGGGGAAUAAAGUGCAGGACGUGUCCUGUUUUGUAUGUACCCUGAGAAUAAGGAUCGGCUAACUCCGUGCCAGCAGCCGCGGUAAUACGGAGGAUCCGAGCGUUAUCCGGAUUUAUUGGGUUUAAAGGGAGCGUAGGUUGACAUAUAAGUCAGCUGUGAAAGUUUACGGCUCAACCGUGAAAUUGCAGUUGAUACUGUAUGUCUUGAGUGUACAAGAGGUGGGCGGAAUGCGUGGUGUAGCGGUGAAAUGCAUAGAUAUCACGAAGAACUCCGAUUG